CCCGAAAGUCCUCUAGCAGCACAUCAUGGUUUACAUGUUCUUGCCCAGAUGCGAAUCAUUAUUUGCUGCUUUAGGAAUUUAAGG
This is a non-coding RNA of Sarcophilus harrisii (Tasmanian devil), 84 nucleotides long. NCBI's taxonomy places the organism in Eukaryota, Metazoa, Chordata, Mammalia, Dasyuromorphia, Dasyuridae. The record is from Rfam.